This 2177-nucleotide unclassified non-coding RNA is filed under the name Hevea brasiliensis (rubber tree). Lineage: Eukaryota; Viridiplantae; Streptophyta; Magnoliopsida; Malpighiales; Euphorbiaceae. The record is from RNAcentral.
UUAUACACUCAGCAGCAACAUUUUAACUGUAAAAUGUUUCUCAAUUACAAUAGUUGCACAGGCAAUGGCACACAUGCAAUCUCAGCAGUGCUUUCAUUUCAAGGUGCAUAUUGCAAAGAAAAUUGAAGGUACGAAUCUACACAAACAACCCAAGUGAAUUUUAUAGAGGAAGGAGAAGGGGAAGGGAAAGGAAGAAGCUACAUUUCAACAUAAGAAGGAUUUUAUGAGAUUUCAAACUGGUGAUCGGCUAUAGAAUUGCAUCCCAUAUGAUUGCAAAACGCUCAUAUACAAAUCUCAUAAUCUAGGGAUCUUCCUUAUUUUUUGCUUUACCCCUUGAAGCGAACUACAAUGCAGGAGAUGUCAUCCUUACUGUCUCUUUUCACUGCCUCUGCUGCUAGUUGCUUGGCUGCCUUUUCUGGGUCUUUUGUCUUUCUUGCUAUAUCAACUGCUUCUUGAUUAGACAUGACCUAGAAUCAUCACUCAAACGAACAAAAAUAAAAGCAUAGUAAAGAUCAGGAAUGAAGGUGGUUUUCUUAAGAACAUCAACUUUGCAAAGAAAGAGAGAGACAGGUUACCUUCCAUAGACCAUCACUAGCAAGGAUGAGAAUCUCAGCAUCUGAGUCAAUAACAGUGUUCUGGAUGUCAGGGUCAGAUCGCAAGUGUGAUUUGAGGUUCUUAUCUCCAAAAGCUCGAGAAACUGCCAACUGGCCGUUCACUCUUGCAACGUCUCCUAAAGCAAUACAUCAAAAUUGAAAAUAAAGUGAUUAUUAUGAAAGAAAGAGAAAUCACAAGGAAGACAGUCCAUCUGAGAUGAUACAUUUAUCCAUAAUCAAUUAGAAUCAUAAUCAAACUCAGAAAGGACUUUAUUUUGCAUAUAGCAGCAUGCAUGCCUUUUAUAUAUUACAUUAAUAUAUGAACUGAUUAAAUCAAAGCCUUCCAAUGUGCCAAAGAAUUGAAUAAUUAGCAGUAAGCAAAAGUUCAUUAGAUUUGUAUAAUGAACAGAAAUCUUGAGCAUUUAAUUAAAAUCAACUUCAUCUAAAAUUGUCAAGCUCUAGUAUUUAGAAGGAAAAAAAGUUCAAUAGAUUUGUAUGUCAAAUAGAAAUCUUGAGCAUUUGAAAUCAAUUUUAUUUAAGAGAAUAAGACAUAGGCCUCAAAAUUUGUUGAACAACCUGGGAUGUUUGAGACAAAACCGCCUUUGUUCUCAAUGCUACCCCGCUCAGUGUUUGGCUCAUGAUCAGUUGUCAUCUGUACUGCUUGCCCUCUUCUUGAAAGAACUGCUCGAGAAUCUCCAACAUUUGCAAUCCAUAACUUCUGGCCAUUUAUCAGAAUUGCAGUGACAGCCGUUGAUCCACCCCUUCCCAAGUCAUGACUAUGCGAGAGAAUAGCCUGGUCAGUCUUCUCAUAUGCUUUUGAUAUGGACUUGCUAGGAUCUGUCCAAAACUCUUCAUCCUUUAAGAUAUUGUUAAACAAGUUCUUCUGAAGAUAGGCAGGUACACUAUCUCCUAAAUGCCCAUCAUAUAUAGCAAAAAGUCCAAUCACAUGUCCUUGGAUCUUAACAAACUUUGCAACAUGAUAAUCCUCCAUUGGAUGAUUUGCUUUCCCUUUUACUAGGCUAAAGCCAUAUUUAGCAGGGCCCUGAUGGCUCCUGCCCUUGCCAGAGCUACAUGAAGAUCGUCCUCCUACAACCUGAUUAAAGACAGAAUUGAAGCAACAUAAAUUACCCAUAUAAUUCAGCCCCACCUUAUAGCCUCUCUCUUCCUCUCAACAUCUACUUCUCUUUCUAACCUCAAAAGAUUCAAAACCCAACAAAACCCCACCUCACAAGAUCAAUAAUUCCACGAAUUGCGCCAUCGAAAACAACGAUUAUGAUAAUCUGAACUAUAAGGGCCAACUCUAAAACCACACAAAAAUCCAAGAAAUGUCAAAACAAAAGAGAAUCAUCAACUGGGUAUUCAAGAAAUUCUCGUACCAAUCCACCAAUCACCCAAUUCUACAAGAAACCAAGUGAAAGAAAGAUAAAGAGUUGCCCACCGCCCAGGACUUGAAUUGCCAAUUCUCGAGUCCUACUUCUAUUUUAUACACAUAUACAAACAAGUGAUGUAUAGAAAUUGAUGUCUAGUUAUAGAAGUAUAUAUCAGUAUUCACUGAGAAAAAGAAUCAAUCUUUGAAGGAUACAG